UACGGGGGGAGCAAGCGUUGUUCGGAUUUACUGGGCGUAAAGGGCGCGUAGGCGGCGUGACAAGUCACUUGUGAAAUCUCCGGGCUUAACUCGGAACGGUCAAGUGAUACUGUCGUGCUAGAGUACAGAAGGGGCAACUGGAAUUCUCGGUGUAGAGGUGAAAUUCGUAGAUAUCGGGAGGAACACCGGUGGCGAAGGCGGCGACCUGGGUCGAGACUGACGCUGAGGCGCGAAAGCGUGGGGAGCAAACAGG
This 253-nucleotide ribosomal RNA is filed under the name uncultured bacterium. Its description in RNAcentral is "partial 16S ribosomal RNA". It matches the Rfam family "Bacterial small subunit ribosomal RNA", at positions 524 to 776 of the family's 1533-position model. The record is from RNAcentral.